UCUCUCUCUCUCUUCCGGAGGAAGGAGGGGCGAGCGAAGGUCCUGCUUUGUGGGCGGCGGAAAGGUAGCUUCUGAAAAAAUCUUUUGAAGAACACCAUGUGAGAGCUUGGCCCAAGGGAUGCCCUAGGUCUCAAAUGACUUGAAGGUAUACAGCAAUGACAACAAUAAAUAAGUAGGAGGGAAAUAUAUUUCAAGCUACAUACCUGGAGGAGGAAAUGGAAUAGUGUGUUGUAAAAAGAGGGCUUGAGAAAGAAACCAAAAGCCUGCAACAAUAAAAGACCAAGAAGAGGAUAUCCUGUGCUGUUUAGGAGUUCAUAUUUGUGAACAUCUAGCAUAAUAUUUGAAUCAUAAAUUUAAAAGAAUGGAAACUCUUCUACAUCCCUAUCCCAAAUCACACCCAGGAGAGAUCCUACAUAAAUGUAUGGAAUGUGGGAAAGGGUUCAGUGGGAGAAGUUCUCUUCUGAAACAUCAAAGGACCCAUACUGGGGAGAAGCCAUAUAAAUGUAUGGAAUGUGGGAAGAUGUUCUCUCAGAGUGGACAUCUCCAUGCCCAUCAAAGGACCCACACAGGAGAGAAGCCAUAUCAGUGCAUUGAAUGUGGAAAGAGCUUCAGUCAGAGUGGAGAGCUGCGUUGCCAUAAAAGAACCCACACUGGGGAGAAGCCCUAUCAAUGCAUGGGAUGUGGAAAGAGCUUCCGUGACAGCAGCAAUCUUUGUUCCCAUCAAAGGACCCACACAGGAGAGAAGCCACAUAAAUGUAUGGACUGUGGAAAGAUCUUCAGUCAGAGAGGACAUCUGUGUUGCCAUGAAAGGACACACACAGGAGAGAAGCAACAUAAAUGCAUUGAAUGUGGAAAGAGUUUCAUUCAGAGUGGAGAACUGCGUUCACAUCAAAGGACCCACACAGGAGAGAGGCCAUAUCAGUGCACAGAAUGUGGAAAAAGCUUCAUUCAGAGUGGACAUUUGCAUUUGCAUCAAAGGACCCACACAGGGGAGAAGCCAUAUCAAUGCAUGGAAUGUGGAAAGAGUUUCAGUCGGAGAGAUCAUCUGUGUUCCCAUCAAAGAACCCACACAGGGGAGAAGCCACAUAGAUGCAUGGAAUGUGGAAAGAGCUUCUGUCACAGUGGAGAUCUGCGUUGCCAUCAAAGAACCCACACGGGGGAGAAGCCAUAUCAGUGCAAGGAAUGUAGCAAGUGCUUCAGUCACAGUGGACAUCUGCGUUGCCAUCAAAGGACCCACACAGGAGAGAAGCCGUAUCAAUGCAUAGAAUGUGGAAAGAGCUUCAGCCAGCGUAAAAAUCUGCAUUGUCAUCAAAGGACCCAUACAGGGGAAAAACCAUAUCAAUGCAUGGAAUGUGGAAAGAGCUUCAGUCAGGGUGGAAAGUUGCGCUGCCAUCAAAGGACCCACACAGGGGAGAAACCAUAUCAAUGCAUGGAAUGUGGAAAGAAAUUCAGUUACAGUAGCAAUUUGCGUUCUCAUCAAAGGAAACAUACAGAGGAGGACCAUAGAAAUGCAUGGAAUAUGGAAAUAGCUUCAGAGAAAAUUCAGCAUGUACUAGAAAUCAAAGAACUCACACACCCUUAGAAGAGGAGAGAUGCCUUUAUAUUUUCUGGUUCUCCUAAAAAGAACCUUUCAAUUUCUCCAGGCAAGGGUCCCAUCCCUCUCCAGACAGACAAAUAAUGGAAAGGUGGAAGGAAAGAAGGCGGACACCUUGCUUUUCAUCUUUCAUGGAUAGCAAUUUGUGUGGCCAUGGUCUACUCAUGAUAAACAGUAGCUCUUUGAUAGCAGAUAACAUCAUACCGUCAUACUCUAGUCCUUGCCCUUGGUGCUACUUCCUCUUGCUUAGAAUUCUGGACUCUAGCCUUGUUCCUGUAACCCUAUUCUGGGAUUGUAUUGUAUUCUGAAUCUAUAUUCUGGACUGACUUCCUUGUGAUGAAUGGAUUGAAUGAGUUGUAUGUUUGGAAUCUCGUUGGGGCCUAUUAAGGUCUGGAAAGGCUGAAGAAAUAAUCCCAAAAAUGGAAUCUAGAAAACUGCAUUAUGAAGAACAAAGGAGGUCCACUGGAAGGUGAAUACGCCAGCUUGCCAGAAUCUUACUGGCAACCAGCACCCAGAAGACGUUUUCAUCGGCCGCCCCAAGACUGUGGAACGACCUGCCAAAAGAGAUGUAACAGUAGAGGUGUGCAAAACAGCAGGAAUCCAAAUGGUAGUUUAAUGUAUUGUCGAAGGCUUUCAUGGCCGGAAUCACUGGGUUGUUGUAGGUUUUUUUGGGCUGUAUGGCCAUGGUC
Non-coding RNA from Anolis sagrei ordinatus, 2283 nucleotides. The record is from RefSeq and is a predicted model, not a curated record. NCBI's taxonomy places the organism in Eukaryota, Metazoa, Chordata, Lepidosauria, Squamata, Anolidae.